This is a long non-coding RNA of Gavialis gangeticus (Gharial), 886 nucleotides long. RefSeq lists it as uncharacterized. The record is from RefSeq and is a predicted model, not a curated record. Lineage: Eukaryota; Metazoa; Chordata; Crocodylia; Gavialidae. The transcript is spliced from 2 exons.
UGCAUGUGUACCUGCGUGCACCCCCUACUUGUCGCCCCUGCCAAGCAGUGGUGGUAGUGUGGCUGGCUGGCCGCAGAUAUUUUUAUGUCUUCCCACCUUAAGUUACUGCCUGGGACUGCUACCCCAGUCACCUUCUCCCUGUCCCUCCCCUUUCAGUUAUGUUACUGUACUAACAAUCCUAUGCAUUUGGUUUCCUGUCAAGGCUGUCUACUGUUGUGAUACAGCAUGCUUAGAAAACAUCCUGAGGAAUUUAAUUAGGUUAAUAUUUCCCUUAAUUUUACCCUCCAUGCAAUAGGUGAAACUCUGACCAUUACUGCUGAAGUCACUAAAAAAUGUCAGCGAUGUCAGCAGUGCCAGGAAGAGUUGGAAUUUUCAAACUGAGGCGCUCAACUUUAGGCAACUUGUUCCAAUGAGUCUUGAAUACUCUUAGGACAAACUUAGCUUUAUCCUGCCAAUAAUGCAUAACUUUUAUCCAGUAUCAUGAAUGGAUGUUUUUCUUCUAUAUGACUGCAUCCACAGACCUAACCUGCUAUUGCAGUUUUCUGCAAUGUCAAUAGAAAUUACAUUAUUAAAUAGGAUUAAGUUGGGCUGUGACUGGGCAGGAGUCUAUUUGUGUGUAUGGAAGAAGACCCUGCACAACUUCUAGCUCUUAGAUGUAACUUCAAAGUUUGUAGAGAGAGUGCCAUUAAUGCAAGCAUAAUUUAAAUCCAGUCUACAGAAGAAAACAAUGUAUUCGAUCAAUAAGAGUGAAGUAUGGAUCAGAGGAACACACCAGUGCAGUAUUACUAGUAUGUAUCUAUCACAUAAAACUAGGUAGCAGACUAUAUAAUGGAUAUAAACAUGAUAUGGACUAUUAUAACAUAUAAAAAUAAAGGAUCAGAUUCUG